Molecule: ribosomal RNA, 427 nt
Filed under: uncultured bacterium
Lineage: Bacteria
Description: partial 16S ribosomal RNA
Rfam family: Bacterial small subunit ribosomal RNA
Source: RNAcentral
UGGGGAAUAUUGCACAAUGGGCGCAAGCCUGAUGCAGCCAUGCCGCGUGUGUGAAGAAGGCCUUCGGGUUGUACAGCACUUUCAGCGAGGAGGAAGGGUAGUGUGUUAAUAGCACAUUGCAUUGACGUUACUCGCAGAAGAAGCACCGGCUAACUCCGUGCCAGCAGCCGCGGUAAUACGGAGGGUGCAAGCGUUAAUCGGAAUUACUGGGCGUAAAGUGCACGCAGGCGGUUUGUUAAGUCAGAUGUGAAAUCCCCGCGCUUAACGUGGGAACUGCAUUUGAAACUGGCAAGCUAGAGUCUUGUAGAGGGGGGUAGAAUUCCAGGUGUAGCGAUGAAAUGCGUAGAGAUCUGGAGGAAUACCGGUGGCGAAGGCGGCCCCCUGGACAAAGACUGACGCUCAGGUGCGAAAGCGUGGGGAGCAAACA